UGUGAUUGAGGAACGUUUUGAAAAUAUAGUGGGCAUUGCUUAUGCAAUGGAUCUGCUGGAUUAUGUUCAGAAGGGGGAUCUCAAAGAAAGUACUACAGUGGGAGACAUGGCCCACAAACCUGCAUACUUCGUCCCUGAUUCAAUGUCAGUUUGGAAUCGUCUCAGACAGUUCCACAUUAGGAAGGUUCA
This is a long non-coding RNA of Pistacia vera, 189 nucleotides long. RefSeq lists it as uncharacterized. The record is from RefSeq and is a predicted model, not a curated record. The transcript is spliced from 3 exons. Lineage: Eukaryota; Viridiplantae; Streptophyta; Magnoliopsida; Sapindales; Anacardiaceae.